GUGUCAGCCGCCGCGGUAAUACGGAGGGUGCAAGCGUUAUCCGGAUUCACUGGGUUUAAAGGGAGCGCAGGCGGGCUGGUAAGUCAGUGGUGAAAGCCUUGAGCUUAACUCGAGAACUGCCAUUGAUACUAUCAGUCUUGAAUAUUGUUGAGGUUUGCGGAAUGGGUCAUGUAGCGGUGAAAUGCAUAGAUAUGACCCGGAACACCUAUUGCGAAGGCAGCAGGCUAAACAAAGAUUGACGCUGAGGCUCGAAAGCGUGGGGAUCAAACAGGAUUAGAUACCCCGGUAGUCC
This 292-nucleotide ribosomal RNA is filed under the name uncultured bacterium. RNAcentral's name for it is "partial 16S ribosomal RNA". It matches the Rfam family "Bacterial small subunit ribosomal RNA", at positions 505 to 796 of the family's 1533-position model. The record is from RNAcentral.